AGACAGGUGGUGCAUGGUUGUCGUCAGCUCGUGUCGUGAGAUGUUGGGUUAAGUCCCGCAACGAGCGCAACCCUUAUCUUCAGUAGCCAGCAGGUAAAGCCGGGCACUCUGGAGAGACUGCCGGGGAUAACCCGGAGGAAGGUGGGGAUGACGUCAAAUCAUCAUGCCCCUUAUGAUUUGGGCUACACACGUGCUACAAUGGCGUAAACAGAGGGAAGCGAGCCCGCGAGGGGGAGCAAAUCCCAAAAAUAACGUCCCAGUUCGGAUUGUAGUCUGCAACCCGACUACAUGAAGCUGGAAUCGCUAGUAAUCGCGGAUCAGAAUGCCGCGGUGAAUACGUUCCCGGGUCUUGUACACACCGCCCGUCACACCAUGGGAGUCGGAAAUGCCCGAAGUCUGUGACCUAACCGCAAGGGAGGAGCAGCCGAAGGCAGGUCGGAUGACUGGGGUGAAGUCGUAACAAGGUAGCCGUAUCGGAAGGUGCGGCUGGAUCACCUC
RNAcentral lists this ribosomal RNA (498 nucleotides) under uncultured bacterium. Its description in RNAcentral is "bacterial SSU rRNA". It matches the Rfam family "Bacterial small subunit ribosomal RNA", at positions 1032 to 1529 of the family's 1533-position model. The record is from RNAcentral.